Molecule: long non-coding RNA, 258 nt
Filed under: Pan troglodytes (chimpanzee)
Lineage: Eukaryota; Metazoa; Chordata; Mammalia; Primates; Hominidae
Description: long non-coding RNA NONPTRT011518
Source: RNAcentral
GCGGCAAGGCAGGACAGUGCGGGGAAGAAGUGGUAAAUGUGAAUUGGCAGAAAGGAAGGAAGACACUGCAGACGGGAGCAGCCAUUGGAACAAAAAGAUAGAGGAAGGGGCAGGACAUACGUGUAUGGAAUAUAAUAACUAGAAUCACUAGACUGAAGCACAAGAAGGGACAAGGUUGGCCAGGUAAAGAAGGAGAGCCUUGAAAGAUGGGUUUGUGUUUCAGGGGUUUGCGUGUCAGUAAACAGGUUUAUGUUUACU